Betta splendens (Siamese fighting fish) is the source of this 435-nucleotide long non-coding RNA. RefSeq lists it as uncharacterized. Lineage: Eukaryota; Metazoa; Chordata; Actinopteri; Anabantiformes; Osphronemidae. The record is from RefSeq and is a predicted model, not a curated record. The transcript is spliced from 4 exons.
CUGUCAAGUUCUAUGAAUAAAAAGGAACUUCUGCGCUCCAUAUCAUCCUCAACAAAUGGCUCGGUUGAAUCCAUUCAGAGAUCUUCAGACGUUUGCCCAGAGAAACCCUCAAAAAUGGGACAGUUAUGUGCAGUGCACAAUGUUUGCUAAGGACAAAAAAGCAGCUGACAAUGCAGUUCAGUCCUUAUUUUUUACUGUCUGGCAGAGAAGCCAGAUUUUCCUCAGAGGUUGCAGUGAACUAUGACGUUUGGACAGAAACUGUGGAACAACUGGUAAGGAACGAGAAACUCGUUGAAGGGCGGCUGAUGCCACACAGGAGAAUGGACUUCGCAUGGGAAGCUGAGAACUAUAACACAAUAGCGGCCGGGGGUAUCUCCUCUUCAACCUCUCCAGCAUCACCUCAUUAUCAAUAAUAUCUUUAGGUUCAUAUUUUGG